AGUGAACGCUGGCGGCAGGCCUAAUACAUGCAAGUCGAACGGCAGCACAGCAGAGCUUGCUCUGUGGGUGGCGAGUGGCGGACGGGUGAGGAAUACGUGGGAAUCUGCCCAGUCGUGGGGGAUAACGUAGGGAAACUUACGCUAAUACCGCAUGCGCCCUUCGGGGGAAAGGCCGGGGACCGUUCGGGCCUGGCGCGAUUGGAUGAGCCCACGUCGGAUUAGCUAGUUGGCGGGGUAAAGGGCCCACCAAGGCGACGAUCCGUAGCUGGUCUGAGAGGAUGAUCAGCCACACUGGAACUGAGACACGGUCCAGACUCCUACGGGAGGCAGCAGUAGGGAAUAUUGGACAAUGGGCGCAAGCCUGAUCCAGCCAUGCCGCGUGAGUGAAGAAGGCCCUCGGGUUGUAAAGCUCUUUUGUCCGGAAAGAAAAGCGCCGGGUUAAUACCCUGGUGUCCUGACGGUACCGGAAGAAUAAGCACCGGCUAACUUCGUGCCAGCAGCCGCGGUAA
RNAcentral lists this ribosomal RNA (509 nucleotides) under uncultured bacterium. Its description in RNAcentral is "bacterial SSU rRNA". It matches the Rfam family "Bacterial small subunit ribosomal RNA", at positions 30 to 523 of the family's 1533-position model. The record is from RNAcentral.